Notechis scutatus (mainland tiger snake) is the source of this 146-nucleotide small nucleolar RNA. Ensembl annotates it as small nucleolar RNA, H/ACA box 79B. The record is from Ensembl. Lineage: Eukaryota; Metazoa; Chordata; Lepidosauria; Squamata; Elapidae.
UGAUGACUGUUCCUCUCACUGCUGCAAGCCUCCAACAGUGGGAUUUUAUGUCAUCAAAUACUAACAUGACUUUUCUUCACUCAAAAGUGUCUUUAGAUGGGUUGGCCAUCUGUGACACGGUUGAACUUUUGCGGGGUCGCACAUUC